GCCGCCAUCGUCUAACGGUUAGGACUCCAGAUUUUCAAUCUGGCAAUCGGAGUUCGAUUCUCCGUGGCGGUG
Molecule: transfer RNA, 72 nt
Filed under: bacterium
Lineage: Bacteria
Description: tRNA-Glu
Rfam family: tRNA
About the family: Transfer RNA (tRNA) molecules are approximately 80 nucleotides in length. Their secondary structure includes four short double-helical elements and three loops (D, anti-codon, and T loops). Further hydrogen bonds mediate the characteristic L-shaped molecular structure. tRNAs have two regions of fundamental functional importance: the anti-codon, which is responsible for specific mRNA codon recognition, and the 3' end, to which the tRNAs corresponding amino acid is attached (by aminoacyl-tRNA synthetases). tRNAs cope with the degeneracy of the genetic code in two manners: having more than one tRNA (with a specific anti-codon) for a particular amino acid; and 'wobble' base-pairing, i.e. permitting non-standard base-pairing at the 3rd anti-codon position.
Source: RNAcentral